UACGUAGGGUGCAAGCGUUGUCCGGAAUUAUUGGGCGUAAAGAGCUCGUAGGCGGUUACUCAAGUCGGAUGUGAAAGCCCUCGGCUUAACUGAGGAAGUGCACCCGAAACUGAGUAGCUAGAGUACUAAAGAGGGUCGCGGAAUUCCCGGUGUAGAGGUGAAAUUCGUAGAUAUCGGGAGGAACACCGGUGGCGAAGGCGGCGACCUGGGUAGAUACUGACGCUGAGGCGCGAAAGCGUGGGGAGCAAACGGG
RNAcentral lists this ribosomal RNA (253 nucleotides) under uncultured bacterium. RNAcentral describes it as "partial 16S ribosomal RNA". It matches the Rfam family "Bacterial small subunit ribosomal RNA", at positions 524 to 776 of the family's 1533-position model. The record is from RNAcentral.